Molecule: ribosomal RNA, 406 nt
Filed under: uncultured bacterium
Lineage: Bacteria
Description: partial 16S ribosomal RNA
Rfam family: Bacterial small subunit ribosomal RNA
Source: RNAcentral
AUUGAACGCUGGCGGCAGGCCUAACACAUGCAAGUCGAACGAGUGGCGGACGGGUGAGUAAUGUCUGGGAAACUGCCCGUGGGAGGGGGAUAACUACUGGAAACGGUAGCUAAUACCGCAUACCAUCGGAUGUGCCCAGAUGGGAUUAGCUAGUAGGGUGGGUAACUGCUCACCUAGGCGACGAUCCCUAGCUGGACUGAGAGUAUGACCAGCCACACGGGAACGGAGACACGGUCCAGCCGCCUACGGGAGGCAUCAGUGGGGAAUAUUGGACAAUGGGCGAAAGCCUGAUGCAGCCAUGCCGCGUGUAUGAAGAAGGCUUUCGGGUUGUAAAGUACUGUCAGCGAGGAGGCGUUACUCGCAGAAGAAGCACCGGCUAACUCCGUGCCAGCAGCCGCGGUAAUAC